Molecule: ribosomal RNA, 253 nt
Filed under: uncultured bacterium
Lineage: Bacteria
Description: partial 16S ribosomal RNA
Rfam family: Bacterial small subunit ribosomal RNA
Source: RNAcentral
UACAGAGGUCCCAAGCGUUGUUCGGAUUCACUGGGCGUAAAGGGUGCGUAGGUGGUCGGGUAAGUCUGAUGUGAAAUCUCGGAGCUCAACUCCGAAACUGCAUUGGAUACUAUUCGGCUUGAGAGUUGGAGGGGGGACUGGAAUUCUCGGUGUAGCAGUGAAAUGCGUAGAUAUCGAGAGGAACACCAGUGGCGAAGGCGAGUCCCUGGACAACUUCUGACGCUGAGGCACGAAAGCUAGGGGAGCAAACAGG